CUGCCCCUGGGGAAGGGUCUCUGAUUAGAGAGUCCUUCCCUUGUGGAGUUUUUGCUGUGAGCCUAAAUCUUCAGUACUGUUCAAUGGUGCUGAUUUCAUCCCAACACCUUCCUGGUCAUCUCUUCCUGCUCUCAGGCAAUCUGCUUAACUGCAAUGAAAAGGCUUAAUAUUGGAUGACUCAUUACAGGACUUAGAGCUAUAUCCAGUGCUUAUUCAGCCUUCACUCUCAAAUGUCCUUCAGUGCAAGGAGUUGAAUGCAUAUUGCUGGGCUUUCUUAAGCCAAAGAAAGGAUGGGAGGGACCAGCCUUCCUCUCUUUGUCAACUGCAUCUUUGAUCCGUACCUGCUUCCAGCAGCAGAGGAGUAAGGGUGAGGUGGCACAGGACUGGGGAGAGAGCUUUGUACUGAAUGGAGGACUGUGCCUUGUGGGUACUCUGCUCAUAAAGGACCAAGACACAGGCAACAGAAGGUACACAGCAGCAAUGCAGUUUGAUAUCUGGCAAAAUUUGGAGGAUCAGAAAGGAGUACAAGAGUUUGAAACAUAAAGACUAGACAGUAACUGCAGUGCAUCCAAUGUCUAGGUGGUAUGCUUCUGUGUGGAGCCAUGAGUUAAACUCGAUGAUCCUUGUGGGACCCUUCCAACUUGAGAUGUCCUAUGACUGUAUGAUUCUAUGAUUUUCUACAGAUAUGUCAAUUCUAUAGUUUGUCUUUAGAGUCUUUAAUUAAAGUAAACACAGACUGUGUGGGGAUGUGGUUCUCCAUGUGCUGCUGG
Molecule: long non-coding RNA, 770 nt
Filed under: Gallus gallus (chicken)
Lineage: Eukaryota; Metazoa; Chordata; Aves; Galliformes; Phasianidae
Description: lncRNA (ENSGALG00010010827.1)
Source: RNAcentral